GUUCUGUAAGCCUGUGAAGGUGUGUCGUGAGGCAUGCUGGAGGUAUCAGAAGUGCGAAUGCUGACAUAAGUAACGAUAAAGCGGGUGAAAAGCCCGCUCGCCGGAAGACCAAGGGUUCCUGUCCAACGUUAAUCGGGGCAGGGUGAGUCGACCCCUAAGGCGAGGCCGAAAGGCGUAGUCGAUGGGAAACGGGUUAAUAUUCCCGUACUUGGUGUUACUGCGAAGGGGGGACGGAGAAGGCUAUGUUGGCCGGGCGACGGUUGUCCCGGUUUAAGCGUGUAGGUGUGUGUUCCAGGUAAAUCCGGUUCACUUUAACACUGAGGCGUGACGACGAGGCACUACGGUGCUGAAGCAACAAAUGCCCUGCUUCCAGGAAAAGCCUCUAAGCAUCAGGUAACAUCAAAUCGUACCCCAAACCGACACAGGUGGUCAGGUAGAGAAUACCAAGGCGCUUGAGAGAACUCGGGUGAAGGAACUAGGCAAAAUGGUGCCGUAACUUCGGGAGAAGGCACGCUGACACGUAGGUGAAGUGAUUUACUCAUGGAGCUGAAGUCAGUCGAAGAUACCAGCUGGCUGCAACUGUUUAUUAAAAACACAGCACUGUGCAAACACGAAAGUGGACGUAUACGGUGUGACGCCUGCCCGGUGCCGGAAGGUUAAUUGAUGGGGUCAGCGCAAGCGAAGCUCCUGAUCGAAGCCCCGGUAAACGGCGGCCGUAACUAUAACGGUCCUAAGGUAGCGAAAUUCCUUGUCGGGUAAGUUCCGACCUGCACGAAUGGCGUAAUGAUGGCCAGGCUGUCUCCACCCGAGACUCAGUGAAAUUGAACUCGCUGUGAAGAUGCAGUGUACCCGCGGCAAGACGGAAAGACCCCGUGAACCUUUACUAUAGCUUGACACUGAACAUUGAGCCUUGAUGUGUAGGAUAGGUGGGAGGCUUUGAAGUGUGGACGCCAGUCUGCAUGGAGCCGACCUUGAAAUACCACCCUUUAAUGUUUGAUGUUCUAACGUGGACCCGUGAUCCGGGUUGCGGACAGUGUCUGGUGGGUAGUUUGACUGGGGCGGUCUCCUCCUAAAGAGUAACGGAGGAGCACGAAGGUUGGCUAAUCCUGGUCGGACAUCAGGAGGUUAGUGCAAUGGCAUAAGCCAGCUUGACUGCGAGCGUGACGGCGCGAGCAGGUGCGAAAGCAGGUCAUAGUGAUCCGGUGGUUCUGAAUGGAAGGGCCAUCGCUCAACGGAUAAAAGGUACUCCGGGGAUAACAGGCUGAUACCGCCCAAGAGUUCAUAUCGACGGCGGUGUUUGGCACCUCGAUGUCGGCUCAUCACAUCCUGGGGCUGAAGUAGGUCCCAAGGGUAUGGCUGUUCGCCAUUUAAAGUGGUACGCGAGCUGGGUUUAGAACGUCGUGAGACAGUUCGGUCCCUAUCUGCCGUGGGCGCUGGAGAACUGAGGGGGGCUGCUCCUAGUACGAGAGGACCGGAGUGGACGCAUCACUGGUGUUCGGGUUGUCAUGCCAAUGGCACUGCCCGGUAGCUAAAUGCGGAAGAGAUAAGUGCUGAAAGCAUCUAAGCACGAAACUUGCCCCGAG
Molecule: ribosomal RNA, 1583 nt
Filed under: Salmonella enterica
Lineage: Bacteria; Pseudomonadati; Pseudomonadota; Gammaproteobacteria; Enterobacterales; Enterobacteriaceae
Description: partial 23S ribosomal RNA
Rfam family: Bacterial large subunit ribosomal RNA
Source: RNAcentral